Molecule: transfer RNA, 72 nt
Filed under: Myotis davidii
Lineage: Eukaryota; Metazoa; Chordata; Mammalia; Chiroptera; Vespertilionidae
Rfam family: tRNA
About the family: Transfer RNA (tRNA) molecules are approximately 80 nucleotides in length. Their secondary structure includes four short double-helical elements and three loops (D, anti-codon, and T loops). Further hydrogen bonds mediate the characteristic L-shaped molecular structure. tRNAs have two regions of fundamental functional importance: the anti-codon, which is responsible for specific mRNA codon recognition, and the 3' end, to which the tRNAs corresponding amino acid is attached (by aminoacyl-tRNA synthetases). tRNAs cope with the degeneracy of the genetic code in two manners: having more than one tRNA (with a specific anti-codon) for a particular amino acid; and 'wobble' base-pairing, i.e. permitting non-standard base-pairing at the 3rd anti-codon position.
Source: Rfam by way of RNAcentral
GCUGAGAUGGCUCAGUGGUUGAGCAUUGGCCUAUGAACCAGAAGGUCAUGGGUUCAAUUCCUAGUCAGGGCA